GAUGAAGAACGCAGCGAAAUGCGAUAAGUAAUGCGAAUUGCAGAAUUCAGUGAGUCAUCGAAUCUUUGAACGCACAUUGCGCCCCCUGGUAUUCCGGGGGGCAUGCCUGUCCGAGCGUCAUUGCUGCCCUCAAGCACGGCUUGUGUGUUGGGCCUCCGUCCUCCUCCCGGGGGACGGGCCCGAAAGGCAGCGGCGGCACCGCGUCCGGUCCUCGAGCGUAUGGGGCUUCGUCACCCGCUCUUGUAGGCCCGGCCGGCGCUUGCCGACACAUCAAUCUUUUUUCCAGGUUGACCUCGGAUCAGGUAGGGAUACCCGCUGAACUUAAGCAUAUCAAUAAGCGGAGGA
RNAcentral lists this unclassified non-coding RNA (345 nucleotides) under soil metagenome. RNAcentral's name for it is "partial contains 5.8S ribosomal RNA, internal transcribed spacer 2, and large subunit ribosomal RNA". The stretch from base 1 to 120 matches the Rfam family "5.8S ribosomal RNA", at positions 35 to 154 of the family's 154-position model. The record is from RNAcentral.